This 520-nucleotide ribosomal RNA is filed under the name uncultured Glomus. Its description in RNAcentral is "SSU rRNA". It matches the Rfam family "Eukaryotic small subunit ribosomal RNA", at positions 569 to 1090 of the family's 1831-position model. Lineage: Eukaryota; Fungi; Glomeromycota; Glomeromycetes; Glomerales; Glomeraceae. The record is from RNAcentral.
AGCAGCCGCGGUAAUUCCAGCUCCAAUAGCGUAUAUUAAAGUUGUUGCAGUUAAAAAGCUCGUAGUUGAAUUUCGGGGUUAGUAGGUUGGUCAUGCCACUGGUAUGUACUGAUCUUACUGAUUCCUCCUUCCUGAUGAACCGUAAUGCCAUUAAUUUGGUGUUGCGGGGAGACUGGACUGUUACUUUGAAAAAAUUAGAGUGUUUAAAGCAGGCUAACGCUUGAAUACAUUAGCAUGGAAUAAUGAAAUAGGACGUUCGAUCCUAUUUUGUUGGUUUCUAGGAUUGACGUAAUGAUUAAUAGGGAUAGUUGGGGGCAUUAGUAUUCAAUUGUCAGAGGUGAAAUUCUUGGAUUUAUUGAAGACUAACUACUGCGAAAGCAUUUGCCAAGGAUGUUUUCAUUAAUCAAGAACGAAAGUUAGGGGAUCGAAGGCGAUCAGAUACCGUCGUAGUCUUAACCAUAAACUAUGCCGACUAGGGAUCGGAUGAUGUUAAUUUUUUAAUGACUCAUUCGGCGCCUUA